Molecule: ribosomal RNA, 456 nt
Filed under: Triticum aestivum (bread wheat)
Lineage: Eukaryota; Viridiplantae; Streptophyta; Magnoliopsida; Poales; Poaceae
Description: partial small subunit ribosomal RNA
Source: RNAcentral
AUGUGGUUUCCUAAACCUAGAACAAUGCUCUGGGUGUCGAGCUAUUUCUGCAUGAGUACACAUUGUGAUGGGUGUCACAAGGAAAACAACAUCGAAAACAUGUUGGUCAGACAGGGCAUGCAUAUGUGUUUUCAAAACAUAGACAGCGAGCAGCUUGCUGAAGGGGAACUGCAUGGGUGUUGCUUAAGCACCAGGCUGGAAGAAUAUAUAUUUGGUGUAAGGUUUAUUCUUGGUGCCUCCGAAGCCCUAAUCUCAGACCAACAUACUGGCCACUUGAGUGAUCUCUCCAUGAGUGCACAUGCUGAUACAUCUUGUAAGGAAAAAACAACACAGCAUACAAGAUAUGUUGUUCAAGUGUACUAUAUGUGUACUCUGCAGUUUGCUUUUCAGCCCAUGUUCAGCCUCGACGUGGUGGCUAUUUUCAGUCCCCAAUAUUUUCCACCUAUAUGUUUUUAA